This 524-nucleotide ribosomal RNA is filed under the name uncultured bacterium. RNAcentral's name for it is "partial 16S ribosomal RNA". It matches the Rfam family "Bacterial small subunit ribosomal RNA", at positions 28 to 523 of the family's 1533-position model. The record is from RNAcentral.
GACGAACGCUGGCGGCGUGCCUAAUACAUGCAAGUCGAGCGCAGGAAACUGACGGAACUCUUCGGAGGGAAGGCAGUGGAAUGAGCGGCGGACGGGUGAGUAACACGUAAGGAACCUGCCUCAAGGAUUGGGAUAACUCCGAGAAAUCGGAGCUAAUACCGGAUAGUUCAUCGGACCGCAUGGUCCGCUGAUGAAAGGCGCUCCGGCGUCCCCUUGAGAUGGCCUUGCGGUGCAUUAGCUAGUUGAUGGGGUAACGGCCCACCAAGGCGACGAUGCAUAGCCGACCUGAGAGGGUGAUCGGCCACACUGGGACUGAGACACGGCCCAGACUCCUACGGGAGGCAGCAGUAGGGAAUCUUCCACAAUGGACGAAAGUCUGAUGGAGCAACGCCGCGUGAGUGAUGAAGGUUUUCGGAUCGUAAAACUCUGUUGUAAGGGAAGAACACGUACGAGAGGGAAUGCUCGUACCUUGACGGUACCUUACGAGAAAGCCACGGCUAACUACGUGCCAGCCGCCGCGGUAA